GUUUUUCAAAGUUAACGGGUGGCAAUGUGCAGAAAAAGUAUACCUUGGGUGGGAAAUUGUCCUUUGGCCUAUUUGUUUUGGUGCAGUAUUUUCGCAUAAUUUAUAGUAGAAUUAUCAAGAAGAGACCACUUAUUCGUAGCCUAUACACAAAUCCCUUGAAACUAUGGAUUUAACAGUCGAGAUUGAUUGUACAGUUAUCGAGCAUUGAGCGUGAGAAAAUUUUUAAGAAAUGUUAUACAGAGCCAAAUCUUUUUUAGAAACGUCAUGUAUACGACAUAGAAAAAAGGACCAAAAUUGUCUUUUGAGGUACACUCAUGGAUACAUCCAGAUAGUUGUUUGACGAGUAUGUAGAUUCAUUUUUGGAAUUAUUACGUCGACGACAGUAUAAUGAUACUACGAAUGUUCGUCAGAACUGGAUGAUGGUUCUAACUUGCUUUGUUGGAUACAUCCUUCAUGAGUAUGCUGCAUGGAUGAAAGAUCAUUAUAACUACCAGUUUCCUUCGCUCUUCACACGAUUGGUGGAUGCGGAUUAUCCACCUAAUUUACAUUUGUAACCCUGAGAUGUGAUCAAUAAGGGUUGUUAGAUUUGAAGGAGUGGAAGAUUACAAUUUACGACUCCUUACAGAGUUUUACUACUGACCUAGAGUUAUUUAGGCGAAAGAUGUUAGGGUAUACGUCAAUGAUACCAUAUUUGCUAGCUGCGACAUCAUUUGGGUCUCACAAAGGUCGAAGUCCACGGGACAAUCCAUUUGCAUUGCAUAAGGCGGUGGAUAUACACAGUAGGCACCCCUAUCAGGUGAUUGUGGUAUGUUCAUGUUACGAUACAUCGAGUGCUUGACAUUUCGCCGAUUGUUAUCUUUUGAGAGGGAGGACUCAUUACGCUUACGCACGCGUUUAGACAUACAACUAUUUUUCCAAGAUAUUGAUUGACGAUUA
Molecule: long non-coding RNA, 936 nt
Organism: Mangifera indica (mango)
Lineage: Eukaryota; Viridiplantae; Streptophyta; Magnoliopsida; Sapindales; Anacardiaceae
Exons: 3
Source: RefSeq, a predicted model, not a curated record